Aegilops tauschii subsp. strangulata is the source of this 1256-nucleotide long non-coding RNA. RefSeq lists it as uncharacterized. The record is from RefSeq and is a predicted model, not a curated record. NCBI's taxonomy places the organism in Eukaryota, Viridiplantae, Streptophyta, Magnoliopsida, Poales, Poaceae.
CGAACAUCUCGCUACCUAGACCAAUGUACUAUAAUUUGGAUUCAACAUAAAAUGGAUACAGAUAUUUGAAUUGGAGAUCGUAGGUACAUGUAGUUCAUUUUUAAAUAUGAUUACUUCUGCUAACACUCUGGACCCGCACCGGACUCUUCAAUCAAACGAAACCACCAACCCCACUCACGCGGAACCACCCACGCACCCCACCUCUCUGCCACGAUCCCCCCCGAUCUGGUUUCUUCCCCCACCGGCGCCGCCUCACCCCCAACCUCUGCUUCUUCCCCGGCCGGUGCCACCACCCCCAUCCGGCUUCUCCCACGCCGGUUCCGCAGCCGCCAGGCAACAGCCUUCCCGCGCCCAACUCCUCCUCCUCCCCAUGGUCAUGGCGCCACCACGUACCGUCCGGUGUGCUUGAUCCUCUGCCUUCCUCUCCCCAGACCGGAUUUGCAUCCAUGGCGGUCCGCCUCCUUCCCACCCGCCGUAACCUUCGUAUCGUAGCCGAUGCAGGCCCCACCGCCGGAAACGCCCCCGAUGGUUGGUCGCACAUCGUGCCACCACCAACCUCGGCUGCCAGGUUCCCUCCUGUCCUUCCAUGGUGAGCUCUGCCUCGCGUGGGACUCGGACCACCCCACCACCAGAUCCGUCAAGGGGAGGCAGAGGGGCUCCGGGCCACCACCGUCGGCCACACACGGCCACCACCUCCACGAAGGGGUGCUCCGGGCCACCACUGCCGGCGCCGCGCCCUUGCCUUCCCCACUGGAUUCAUCCUCGCCAGCGGGCUAGGCCACGGGCAUAGAGGAGCAAGGAGAAGUUCUCCUAUCUGGCGCCGCUCCCAACUAGCACCGAUCUGGUUCCCCUUCCCUAAGUCCUACCUCAGACGAGCUCCUCCCUAUCUGCUACUGCUUCUGUUCAUUGUGAAAAUCCAUGGCCGCGCUGCGUCCCAGGCAAAAAGGUGUGUGCGCUGCCGCGCUGCUUAGUGCAGCAGCCAAAAAAAAGAAAACAUCGCGAAAGAAGUCCAUUUCUUUUUAGAUGCAGUACGCCUCGUCGACGCAGCUCAUCUGAAAAAUAUAGUGUAGUUCGUUGCUACAGAAGUUUGUGAUUUAUAUCAGUGGAGAUAAUGUAAAAAGAAACUAUGCAGUUCAUUGUGUGUAUGCUUGCAAAAUGUGGUGUGUGUAUGCUUGCAGUCCACCCCCUCGGUCAUCUAUUUUUUUAGAUGACAAAAAUUUAUUGUCAAAUACAAAGGUUUCACUUCUUUUGAAAAA